RNAcentral lists this ribosomal RNA (278 nucleotides) under uncultured Eubacteriales bacterium. Its description in RNAcentral is "uncultured Clostridiales bacterium partial 16S ribosomal RNA". It matches the Rfam family "Bacterial small subunit ribosomal RNA", at positions 67 to 339 of the family's 1533-position model. Lineage: Bacteria; Bacillati; Bacillota; Clostridia; Eubacteriales. The record is from RNAcentral.
UGAAGUUUUCGGAUGGACGUGGAUAAGACUUAGUGGCGGACGGGUGAGUAACACGUGAGCAACCUGCCUUUCAGAGGGGGAUAACAGUUGGAAACGACUGCUAAUACCGCAUAACGUUGUUUGUGGGCAUCCAUGGACAACCAAAGGAGCAAUCCGCUGAAAGAUGGGCUCGCGGCCGAUUAGCUAGUUGGCGGGGUAACGGCCCACCAAGGCGACGAUCGGUAGCCGGACUGAGAGGUUGAUCGGCCACAUUGGGACUGAGACACGGCCCAGACUCC